UACGAAGGGGGCUAGCGUUGCUCGGAAUCACUGGGCGUAAAGGGUGCGUAGGCGGGUCUUUAAGUCAGGGGUGAAAUCCUGGAGCUCAACUCCAGAACUGCCUUUGAUACUGAGGAUCUUGAGUUCGGGAGAGGUGAGUGGAACUGCGAGUGUAGAGGUGAAAUUCGUAGAUAUUCGCAAGAACACCAGUGGCGAAGGCGGCUCACUGGUCCAUUACUGACGCUGAGGUGCGAAAGCGUGGGGGGCAAACAGG
Molecule: ribosomal RNA, 253 nt
Filed under: uncultured bacterium
Lineage: Bacteria
Description: partial 16S ribosomal RNA
Rfam family: Bacterial small subunit ribosomal RNA
Source: RNAcentral